RNAcentral lists this ribosomal RNA (432 nucleotides) under Rossellomorea aquimaris. RNAcentral's name for it is "bacterial SSU rRNA". It matches the Rfam family "Bacterial small subunit ribosomal RNA", at positions 1103 to 1533 of the family's 1533-position model. Lineage: Bacteria; Bacillati; Bacillota; Bacilli; Caryophanales; Bacillaceae. The record is from RNAcentral.
CCUUGAUCUUAGUUGCCAGCAUUCAGUUGGGCACUCUAAGGUGACUGCCGGUGACAAACCGGAGGAAGGUGGGGAUGACGUCAAAUCAUCAUGCCCCUUAUGACCUGGGCUACACACGUGCUACAAUGGACGGUACAAAGGGCAGCAAAACCGCGAGGUCGAGCCAAUCCCAUAAAACCGUUCUCAGUUCGGAUUGCAGGCUGCAACUCGCCUGCAUGAAGCCGGAAUCGCUAGUAAUCGCGGAUCAGCAUGCCGCGGUGAAUACGUUCCCGGGCCUUGUACACACCGCCCGUCACACCACGAGAGUUUGUAACACCCGAAGUCGGUGGGGUAACCUUUUGGAGCCAGCCGCCUAAGGUGGGACAGAUGAUUGGGGUGAAGUCGUAACAAGGUAGCCGUAUCGGAAGGUGCGGCUGGAUCACCUCCUUUCUA